UACAGAGGUCUCAAGCGUUGUUCGGAUUCAUUGGGCGUAAAGGGUGCGUAGGUGGCGCCGUAAGUGGGGUGUGAAAUCUCGGGGCUUAACUCCAAAACUGCAUUCCAUACUGCGGUGCUCGAGGACUGGAGAGGAGACUGGAAUUCAUGGUGUAGCAGUGAAAUGCGUAGAGAUCAUGAGGAAGACCAGUGGCGAAGGCGGGUCUCUGGACAGUUCCUGACACUGAGGCACGAAGGCCAGGGGAGCAAACGGG
RNAcentral lists this ribosomal RNA (253 nucleotides) under uncultured bacterium. RNAcentral describes it as "partial 16S ribosomal RNA". It matches the Rfam family "Bacterial small subunit ribosomal RNA", at positions 524 to 776 of the family's 1533-position model. The record is from RNAcentral.